ACCUGGCUGGCUCAGUCAGAAGAGCAUGAGACUCUUGAUCUCAGGGUUGUGGGUUCGAGCCCCAUGUUGGGUA
This 73-nucleotide transfer RNA is filed under the name Ailuropoda melanoleuca (giant panda). RNAcentral's name for it is "tRNA-Lys (CTT) (tRNA-Lys-CTT-19-1)". It matches the Rfam family "tRNA". From Rfam's summary of the family: Transfer RNA (tRNA) molecules are approximately 80 nucleotides in length. Their secondary structure includes four short double-helical elements and three loops (D, anti-codon, and T loops). The record is from Rfam by way of RNAcentral. Lineage: Eukaryota; Metazoa; Chordata; Mammalia; Carnivora; Ursidae.